AUACGUAGGGGCCAAACGUUGUCCGGAUUUAUUGGGCGUAAAGGGCUCGUAGGCGGUUCAACAAGUCGGUCGUGAAAACCCGGGGCUCAACCCCGGGACGCCGGUCGAAACUGUUGUGACUAGGGUCCGGUAGAGGUGAGUGGAAUUCUCGGUGUAGCGGUGGAAUGCGCAGAUAUCGAGAGGAACACCAGUAGCGAAGGCGGCUCACUGGGCCGGUACCGACGCUGAGGAGCGAAAGCAUGGGGAGCAAACAGGAUUAGAAACCCCGGUAGUCC
This 275-nucleotide ribosomal RNA is filed under the name uncultured bacterium. Its description in RNAcentral is "partial 16S ribosomal RNA". It matches the Rfam family "Bacterial small subunit ribosomal RNA", at positions 523 to 796 of the family's 1533-position model. The record is from RNAcentral.